This is a non-coding RNA of Ictidomys tridecemlineatus (thirteen-lined ground squirrel), 1977 nucleotides long. The record is from RefSeq and is a predicted model, not a curated record. Lineage: Eukaryota; Metazoa; Chordata; Mammalia; Rodentia; Sciuridae.
CUAUUAAUUCAUUCAUUCUCAGGGAUUUGUUGCAUGUUAACUAUACAGAUGUGGAGUUAGGUGUAAUGUCCUGAGGAUUCAUGGUCUGUUGGCGGAGAUGGCCAAGAAAAAGGUAAUCUGGAAAAUGCUAAUUAAACCACAAGGGAGAGACGGUUUUGCACCCACGAGAUCAGCAACAUUAGAAUGUCUGACAAUCCCGAACAUUGAUGAUGUGCAGUCUCAUGGUGGCGUAUUCACAUGUGAACACAGGAAGGUCGUGUCUUGAAGUCGACGUUGCAGUACCUUGGACUGUGACUGUACAUGGAGAGAGCUUUAGUAAAGAGGUGGUUAAUUCUGGUGAGGUUAUCUGAGUGGGCCCUAGUCCACUCUGACGGGUGUCCUUAGAAGAAGAGAAGAUCAGGAGGGAAGACCACGUGAGGACACACGAGGAAAUGGCCACCCACAUGCCGGUGACAGAGGCCCUGCUGCCGCCUUCGCCUUGGACCUCCGAUUUCCAGGGUUGGGAGAAAAUCAAUUUCUGCCGUUUAAGCCACUCCGUCUGUGGUGCUCUGCUACGGCAGCCAGAGAAAACCUAAACAAUGUGCCCAGUGAAUGGAUGUCAAAAGUAUAAUGUCAGAUGAAAUUGCGGGUCACCCGACACUUAUGGUGUGCUUGUGUUUAGGUAAAGAUGAGAAGAAACGUAUGGUUUAGGUCUACACACACAUAUUCAGCCGAUUCUCACAUUGUUACUCUCCUUUCAGAAGAUGGAGGUAAUUUCCCCUCCCCUCGGAUGUAGGUGGACUUAAUGACUGAUUCGUAAGCAAUUAAAUAGAGGGUACCCGAUGGUGUGACCUCCAAGCCUGGGUCACGAAGGACGGUGUGGCUUCCUCCUUGCUCUCUCUUGGGUCAUUUGCCUGGAAAGAAGCCAGGUGCUAUCAUCUGACGACAUUGAAGUAGCCCAAGACAGAAAUUCUAUUGCAACAACCUGAUGCCUCUUUUGCCAGUAGCCAGCAAGGAACUGAGGCCUCCUGCCAACAAAGUGCCCCAUUUUGGAACUCUGUCACCACCCUGUCACGCCUUCAGGUGACUUAGCCUCAGCCAGAGCCUCAAACAUAACCUCAUGAGAGAUUUGGAUAAAGAGUUACCCAGAAGGGCCGCUCACACUUUCCUCACCCCAGAACCCAAGGAAUAAUAAAUGUUCAGACUCAAGAGGUCACCUUCAUGCCAGGGAAGAACUGAGUCAGACUGUGGAGAUCAGGUAGCAAUUUUGAGCACCAGGCCGGCAGGAGGAUUGCUGAGCUGCACCGAGUGUCCAGUUGGGUGCGAAGACCACAGCCGUGGACUAGCAGCUGCCUGUCAAGUGGAGGACUUCCCUUCUGCCCUGCCUUGAGCCCCAGGUUGGCACACAGAGAACCCAAAGGAUCAAAUCCUGCUCAAGUGUCAGGUCUUGUGUGAAGUUCCCAAGGUGCGUCCCCCAUGUCUACCUCCAGUUGGGAGGAUAUUUCCUUCUCUUGAGCUUUUGCCAAAAUAAGCACAAUGACAAUUGCUAACACCUGUGAUGCUUCGCCUGUAUCAGGGGCACUGUCGUAGUGGUCCUCCGUAUUACUUUAUGUGUAACUUCAUUCAUUCUUCACCUCCUGCCUGCAGAGCAAGCGCUCCUGUGAUCCCUAUUUUGUGAAAGAGGCCACCCCGUGGUCAUAGUGGGGACCAGGAUCUGUUCCGCUCUGUGGCAUCUGGGAACACCAUCACUCCACGUGGCCUCCUACAGACCUGGCCUCCUUUGCAUUAGGUGGUGAUGAUGACUUUACAUGCUCGAGGUCCUGCCAGACUGUGAGCUGUCAGAAGCUCUAGAUCUGUCUUAACUGUGUCUUGGCACCAGCUCAAUAUAAUGCAUGAUUGAAUGAGUGUUGGGUGACGCUGUGGGAUUUUCUGUUGGUCAAAAUUCUGUGUCCCCUACCACCUUGGGUCCCUUUCCAGUUUCGCAGACACCUGUACCCA